AUUGAACGCUGGCGGCAGGCCUAACACAUGCAAGUCGAGCGGAUGAAGGGAGCUUGUUCCUGGAUUCAGCGGCGGACGGGUGAGUAAUUCCUACGAAUCUGCCUGGCAGUGGGGGAUAACGUCCGGUAACGGGCGCUAAUACCGCAUACGUCCAGAGGGAGAAAGUGGGGGAUCUUCGGACCUCACGCUAUCAGAUGAGCCUAGGCCGGAUUAGCUAGUUGGUGGGGUAAAGGCCUACCAAGGCGACGUUCCGUAACUGGUCUGAGAGGAUGAUCAGCCACACUGGAACUGAGACACGGUCCAGACUCCUACGGGAGGCAGCAGUGGGGAAUAUUGGGCAAUGGGCGAAAGCCUGAUCGAGCCACGCCGCGUGUGUGAAGAAGGUCUUCGGAUUGUAAAGCACUUUUAGUUGGGAGGAACGGCAGUAAGUUAAAACCUUGCUGUUUUGACGUUACCAACUGAAAAAGCACCGGCUAACUUCGUG
This 484-nucleotide ribosomal RNA is filed under the name uncultured bacterium. RNAcentral's name for it is "partial 16S ribosomal RNA". It matches the Rfam family "Bacterial small subunit ribosomal RNA", at positions 30 to 507 of the family's 1533-position model. The record is from RNAcentral.